Canis lupus familiaris (dog) is the source of this 1656-nucleotide long non-coding RNA. RefSeq lists it as uncharacterized. NCBI's taxonomy places the organism in Eukaryota, Metazoa, Chordata, Mammalia, Carnivora, Canidae. The transcript is spliced from 4 exons. The record is from RefSeq and is a predicted model, not a curated record.
CCCCAGUCUGGGCCCUCUCGGUCUUGGGUCAGGACAUCCCUGGGGUCCCUUUCUGGGAACUUCCUGCAUCUGUGCCUGGGGAAUUCUAGGCCACGUGUCAGGACUGUGCGGAAGGACUUGCCGUCUGCCCUGCCUCUCCCACAGCAGGUCCAGGAGGGCAGUGGCCUAGGUCAGAGCUGUUCCCCGCUCCUGAGCAGGCCAUAGCCUGUCCCUGGGCACUGGGACGGCCCCUGUUCAGAGCUGACACCACCACGCACCUCAUGAGGGCCUGGACCCUGGCUUCUUCCAGCGGCAUCCUCAGCUCCUGGCACGCACUAGCGGCUCCAUUUUCAUUUAUUCACGAGAGACACAGGCAGAGGGAGAAGCAGGCUCCCCGUAUGGAGCCCGAUGUAUGACGCAAUCCAGGACCUGAGCUGAAGGCAGACGCUCCACCGCUGAGCCCUCGGGGUGCCCCUGUUCUGGAAGUUUUAUCGACAGAUUGGAGAACUUUGUGGCUGGGUUAUGGAGCAGGAGAGAGACUUACUCUGGGUGUCCUUUCUACUCUUUGCAUUUUGAACCACUGGGGCAGCCCUGGUGGCAGGAGCGGGACCUCCUGCGGGUGCAGCACCAGCUUCUGGGGCGGCUCCACCUGCCUCUACAGAGGAGGCUCACGGCGUUGGCAUCGGCCAGGGUCCUUGCAAAAGGCCUGGCCCGAAAGGUUCAACGUGUGCACCCGCUGCUUUGGCGAGGGCGUCGAUCCCAGGCCCUGCGACCGUCCCCUCAUGGGUGCGUGGGCCAAGGCAGAGCCAGGGCGGAGGCUUCGGUGUGGGGGGAGCCGAGCGGGCCUGGCGGGCGUGGGGCUCAUCGGCCAGGAGGUGAGGGCCUCACCCCGGUGUGGCACCUGAGCGGCAGCCGAGCUGGGGGCCGGGAUCCUCUCUUCCCUGGGAUCCUCUUCUCUGUCGGGGUUUCACGCAUCGUCUGGAACGAUCCGGGUGGGGAAGCUGCUCAGGGAGGCUGAGCACCUCGCGCAUGGUCACCGAGGAGCGGGCCUGGAAUCUGGCCGUCGGGCUGCGGACCGGCUCCCCCCACGCUGCUCCCCGUCUCUGCUGGAGAUGCGCCCUCCGUCCGGCUGCUGCUCCUCACUUGCGAGAACACUCACGACGAUUCUGGGCACAAAAUGACUGGAGGCCUCGGAGCCAAGAGCCACAAUCUCCUGGCAACACGGGCUGCCUGGACAGGCUCCUCCACCGAGUUCGGCGCCGGCUGGGAGGGUGCGGGUCCUCACCUGUGGGCUCCCCCUCCUCUCGUGCUCCUCCUCAGGCCUCCUUUUUCUCUCUUCUCCCAGCCUCCUUCUGGCCUCUCUCUCGGGCCCUGAGCCCAACUGCCCCUGAGCUAUUUGCCAGGAAAUAGGGGUGGGGGUGGGGUAGGUCUGAGCUCUCUGCUUUUAUUUAUUUUUUUUUAAGAUUUUAUUUAUUCAUGAGAGACAGAGAGAGACAGGCAGAGACACAGGCAGAGGGAGAAGCAGGCUCCCUGCAGGGAGCCCGAUGGGGAACUCGAUCCCGGGACUCCAGGGUCAUGCCCUGGGCUGAAGGCAGACGCUCAACUGCUGAGCCACUGGACGCCCCACUUCUGCUGCUUGGAUGCAGGAGGCCGAGCUGACACAGCUGCCUGGGGGGA